GAAUAGCCUUUUUUUCAGCAGAAAAUACGGCGCGUUGCAGUUCCACCUCUUCACCGGGGUUUGGGAAAGUUUGCAAAUUUACAAGUAGUUUCUGGUUGGCAGCGCUGAGCACUUAACGCUCAAACUCAGAGCUGCCAACACAAAAAGGGGUGGGUGUCUCAGCGACUCAAAGUCCAAGUCAAUUAGGAGUGGCGUUGAACUUGUAUUUUUGUCCUGGGAGCAGCCACCAUCUGCCAUCAGCUGCAGCAGGACCUCAGGUGUGGAGGUGGGGUUCACCCCGCGGUCUCUAGGAAUGAGAAAUUCAGAGAAUUGCAGAGACUUUAGAGGCCGUUGAAGUCCAUCAUGUGAGGGCUCACGGCCCCGUGUGUUUGCAAAUAGUGGGAGAAAAGAGUGAAUGAGAAACGCCUGGGAAAGAGGCUGAGUUUCGGUUUUCAGCGGCAAAAUUCCUGCCUUCUCAAAAAGAACUCAAGGAGCAAAAUCCAGUAGCUCCUUGUCAGCAGCCUGCCUGCUCUCCCCGCCUGCCUGCCUGCGUGGUGGCAGCCAUCUCAGCUGUUUGUCACUAAGGACUGAGCAAAGGAGCUGAAACUUGAAUUCCUGACCACCUCGGUGGCAGCUCCAUCCUUGGAGGUCCCCGGCUCCUGGGGGGCUGGGGUUUCCCCUUGCCGCUUUAUGCCGGCAAAAGCUGCCCUGCUGCCUUCUGACCUCGUGACAAGCAAUAGUUCCUGGACUGCCCCAGCUCUCCUUGUAGCAAAACCAUCCAGCAGGUUUGGGUUUUUUUGUUGUCAUCAUUAACACAGCUCAUUUCUGCUGCUAAAUUGCAAAUAAAUGCAUGAAUUAAUAAGCAGCAAAUCUCAUCAGGAGCAGUCAUUAUCAGUGACAAAGUGCAUUGCCUGUCUCCCCUAUGGUUCAGGCCGGGUUAAAACGGGGAUUUGCUGAGUUCCUCCCCCCUCUCCUGGCAGCACCGGAGCCCCUGGAGCUGCACGGGGGAUUUUCCAGGCAGCGUUUCCCAACCUGGACACUUGUUGGUGCUUGGUGGCACCGAGACCUGCUGUCCCCACCACGGGCUUGGCCAACUGUGCCAGCAGAGGCGAUGUCUUUGGACACUUCUGCACCUGCCUCGAGGUCCAAACACUGUUGGGGUACGUAGUGUCCAGCUGCCUGGCCCUGCUGCCCGCAGCGGAGGCAGGAGCACGAGCAGGAGGAUGCUGCACUGCUUUAUUGGAGGUGUCACCUGCUCAGCUAAUGCAAGGAGCAAAGAAGAGGUGACCCAGGGACAUCUGCCGGUGGCCCCUGCCGGCAGGGCUCGGUGAACAGUGAGACAUCCUUGCAUUAAGUAGACCAGGGACACCCAACCCCCAGUAGGGUAUAAGCUGAAAUUAAUUAUGUGACCCUUGCGAUUUUUCUAGAGUCAGUCUUGCUGGGAAAAAAAGGCGAAGGAUUUUUAACACAGGGUACGGUAGAACUGUAGCAAUAUUUUCCUUAGAGGGAACACUGAAAUUUUAGCAGCACAAACAGUACUUGUGUUAAUAUUUUAGCGAAAUUAUAAUCAAUUUAAAUGUUUAAAUUGAUUGUAUGUGAGAUAAUGUUUGUUCAGUACAUUGUAUUUUUUCUAACUAUAUAACUGUUCCAGAGUUUCCUUGUAACCGUAACGACCUAAAGCUCUGUCUGACUGCGGGACGUGUCCUGACCCCUGGUGUAACCAUGCUCAAUAUUACAACAUCUGAAUGUACGCACCGAGGCCUGCAUUGCCUUUCUUUCCUCCCCCCCACUCCCACCCCCCCGGCGGUGGGAUGCAGAAGGGGCACACACGCACACCCCACGCACGCCCUCACGCCGUCCCCACCUUAAGAGCAGCAACGGUGAAACGGGGACCACCUCAGCACCACUUCACCCCCACCCCGGCCGAGGCACCCUUGUUCUUCUCAAGGUCAGCAGCUUUUUACAGCUCCCCAAAAGUCAGUAUUACCCUGUGUCUUGCCGUCGGCACGGUCAGCGUGCGAGGACCUGGCUGCGUUUUGCUGGGCAGGAGAGGAAGAGGAGGAGGAGGAGGAGAAGGAGGAAGGGGCUUGGGCACCUGAGAGGUUUCCUAGCAGCAAAAAGGCAGGACAGAUUGCUCCUUGAUUAAGCUGGAGCCAGGAAUAACGUGUCCGGCCACACCAAGGAAGCUUAACCCUGCUCCCUCUGCCACCAAAGAUGUCAGUCCCCAUCAGUGGCACAGAGGACAUCCCUGCCAGGGUGGCACAGCGAAGGAUGGGAUCCACAGGGCAGGCAGCACCUACGGGCAGGCAGCCCGCAAUUGCCAUAUUUUUUUCCAGGCACUAGCAAUGGGUUUAUGUUCGGAGUCGCCGAGGCUGUGUCAUUAAGCUGUAAUUAACAUGGUACCGCGCUGCCCCAGACACACACGCCUUGGACCGAGCAUUUGCCCAUCUUGAACUAAAACCAUUUUCUGGUUCCUUGGCUGUCACCCAGUGCCCGUGUAGCCCCCCAGCCCUCGAGGCUGAAUUCAGACAUGUUGGGGGCAGGAUGAGUGUCCCCCAGCCUGCCCAGCCGUGCUCCCCGCUGUAGGAAACCCCUCUUUUUGCCAGCCCCCCCAGAUGCCAGCAGUGCCCUGCAUCAUUUGUAGCACAGCGGCGUGUCCCCAACUCGUCAGGCAGACUAAGUGUGUACAGGUGUGGGCUGUAGCUGAAUAUAACCCUACAGGCUUCUGGUUAGAGAAUUAGAUCCAUGGCUGUGAUAACUGUAGUGUAUUCUUUGGGGUUCAAGUAUUCGUAACAUCAUCCUUCGUACUUCUUUCCCCUGUGGUUUUUCCCUCCCUGCUCAUUCACCCUGUGUACAGCAGCUUUCCUUGUAGCCCUCCAGACCAGGUCCCAAGAGCACGUCGGGACCGUGCUGUGACCCUGUCCCUCACCAGCCACUGCCCCCACUCUGUCCUCACAACCUCUCAGUAUCUCCCCUCUCCUCCUCGAGAGCGCAGAAGCCCAGCAGAAGCCUGCUGCUCUCAGGCUGGCGUCCCAAAAGCUUCUGCACAGCGUUAGCACUGAAUUUGGGUGUAAAGAAGAAGAGUCCAAACAACCCUGGAGCUUCCCUGGAGAUGUGUUCUCCCACAUCACCUCGCUCCGAGAGGUUCUGGUGUCACACCAGGUUCUUUCUCGGCACCCAAGUUAACCACAUCACGGGUUUUGCAUAUUUAUUUUAAGCAUAUUAAAAGAUUUGAAAGAAUUGGAAAUUUUUUUUCCAACAUUUUAAGCUAUUCCUAGCGAAGUGGGAGUUUUGCUUAAAUGCUAGUUAUUAAAAAGAUCUCCCCCCAUUACAUGCUUCUGUCUCUCAGGCAGCUUGAGCAGAGCCCUCCCGCUGCCCCCUCUACAUGCACUUGGGGUUUCACUGGCUCUUCUGUGGGGACACAGUGGGAUGAGCUUCCCAGCAGUUCAUACUACAACAGCGAGUGACACCUACAGCAUUUCUUUGCUACUUGUGUCAACCAGCAAUUCUUCUGUCACCUCCCUCUCUCUCCACAACCACCCACCCCCAAAUGGCAUACGGCUGGCUCUUCGUUAAGGCCACUUAAAACGAAGCUAAGUGUGGUCAUUGUGUAUUUGUUAUUAAAUGACACCAUUACGUCUGGUGGGGUGGGUGUUUCUCUGGAUACAAGCUGCUGUACAUAUUUGCAGACUUUCCUCCAGCCCCCUCUGUGUUCCCGCAGCGCCCUGGGGGGAGCAGCUGGGUCUAGUUCCACUCUGGUUUAUUCCCAAUACUUUUCUAGGGAGCAGGUUGAGGCUGCAGGUGGCAGAAGCCCCUUUCCCAGCACCAGGGAGGCUCAAAACCCAGCCUUCGCUGUCUCAACUUGAAACCCGAGUUCAGCUGCCUGCGUUUUGUUGCAAUACGCAUUUAAAACCUCAGAUUCUUUAAGAGUUUUAAUAUCAAACCGAUACCAAAUGUGGUUUGCGACUUUCAGUUUCUCUGCAGAUACCUCUGUAUAAGCAGACCGCUUCCAAGAGUUGCAGUUGUCACUAAUCUUACGUGCAUUGUAGUAUAAAGUGGACUGUGUAUGGAAAUAAGUUUAAAAUGUUUACAACUUUUGUAUAUAUUAUAUAUAUAAAAAUAUCUUUUGAGAGAACAAUCUGUGACUAUGUAUUUUCAGUGUCCGUGUACCAACUGCAACUUAUUUUCAAUAAAGAAUUAAAAAAAUGAA
This is a long non-coding RNA of Calidris pugnax (ruff), 4189 nucleotides long. RefSeq lists it as uncharacterized. The record is from RefSeq and is a predicted model, not a curated record. Lineage: Eukaryota; Metazoa; Chordata; Aves; Charadriiformes; Scolopacidae. The transcript has 2 exons.